This 643-nucleotide ribosomal RNA is filed under the name Salmonella enterica subsp. enterica serovar Infantis. RNAcentral describes it as "partial 23S ribosomal RNA". It matches the Rfam family "Bacterial large subunit ribosomal RNA", at positions 2181 to 2823 of the family's 2925-position model. The record is from RNAcentral. RNAcentral also lists the same sequence under 11 other names. Lineage: Bacteria; Pseudomonadati; Pseudomonadota; Gammaproteobacteria; Enterobacterales; Enterobacteriaceae.
UGGAGCCGACCUUGAAAUACCACCCUUUAAUGUUUGAUGUUCUAACGUGGACCCGUAAUCCGGGUUGCGGACAGUGUCUGGUGGGUAGUUUGACUGGGGCGGUCUCCUCCUAAAGAGUAACGGAGGAGCACGAAGGUUGGCUAAUCCUGGUCGGACAUCAGGAGGUUAGUGCAAUGGCAUAAGCCAGCUUGACUGCGAGCGUGACGGCGCGAGCAGGUGCGAAAGCAGGUCAUAGUGAUCCGGUGGUUCUGAAUGGAAGGGCCAUCGCUCAACGGAUAAAAGGUACUCCGGGGAUAACAGGCUGAUACCGCCCAAGAGUUCAUAUCGACGGCGGUGUUUGGCACCUCGAUGUCGGCUCAUCACAUCCUGGGGCUGAAGUAGGUCCCAAGGGUAUGGCUGUUCGCCAUUUAAAGUGGUACGCGAGCUGGGUUUAGAACGUCGUGAGACAGUUCGGUCCCUAUCUGCCGUGGGCGCUGGAGAACUGAGGGGGGCUGCUCCUAGUACGAGAGGACCGGAGUGGACGCAUCACUGGUGUUCGGGUUGUCAUGCCAAUGGCACUGCCCGGUAGCUAAAUGCGGAAGAGAUAAGUGCUGAAAGCAUCUAAGCACGAAACUUGCCCCGAGAUGAGUUCUCCCUGAGACUU